This is a long non-coding RNA of Micropterus dolomieu (smallmouth bass), 1424 nucleotides long. RefSeq lists it as uncharacterized. The record is from RefSeq and is a predicted model, not a curated record. The transcript is spliced from 4 exons. NCBI's taxonomy places the organism in Eukaryota, Metazoa, Chordata, Actinopteri, Centrarchiformes, Centrarchidae.
UUCACGCACGACGCGGUUCUCUUUUCCGGAGCUGCGGUUUGUAGAAAAACCGGUUCCCGCUUAGCUGGAGUUGGACAAACGUUUUUUAUUAUAGUAGUUUGUUGUAUUUCACACCUGUUUUUUGGUCAGGCACAAAAUUACAAAACACCGCCAGAGAAAAAAAGACCCAGCUAACGUUAGCAAGACAGACAAGCUAGCACAUCAACUUGUUACCUGCCGACAUCAAACUGGGACAGAACGCAAGUUUACCUGACUUAAGUUCCCGCAAUUUACUCACCUUGAGUUUGUUCCCUCUUUCCGUGACCAGAAGAAUAGUUUAGCUUCAUCCUCUCAUCGAAGUUUGUGAACAUAAUCUCCCGCUUUGAAACGAGGAGGAGGCGGGACCCUACGCAACUAGCUAGUUAGCAUGUAGAGCCGACACCUGUCCUGCUUACAGGUCCUUCUCAUCCAGUUCUGCGUUGACCCCGUUAUCCUCGCUGUCAUCUUGGCCCGGGCCGCCUUCUUUAUCCUCCAGGAUUUCACCUGCUGCCACACAAAUGUUGUGGAGGAAGCACCAGUCACCAAACAGAUGGCCGAACUCCAGGGCCUUAAGAAGACUGACCCCCAGGAUGUUUUCAGGAUCCUAAUGGUGUGCUCCCCCUAAUGUUCCUUGCCCUUGCAUGGUGUCUGCAGUCCUGGGUUUCAACUUGGCCUGUUAAACAGUAUUCAGGACGCUGCAGGCAUGGGUAUCCUCCAUCUCCUAACAGGAAGUACCCAGCUGGUGGAUACAGGAGGAAGAAUCCUGACGCGGCACCCAUCGAUGGCACCGGCAGCACAGCAGAAGGCCUCAUGGUCAGCAAGGCGACAAAGUCAGUCCCGCCUACUCCAUCGCUUCUGGUUUGGGGAAAUGUAUGGUCCUGCAGACUGUGGCUAGUGGCUUGUCAAAGAUAUCUGAAGUUACCCUGGAAGAGUUUCCAUAGGCGAGCCAGGAGACUAGCACCUGAACUUCAUAGAUCAAUCGAUGGGUUCUUUGCCAGGGCAGCAUCUGGACCAGCAUGUUCAGGCUGUUCCAAGGGCUUUCGUCCUGUUUAAAAAAAGACUGACAUCUCUUGAUUUUCUUAACAUUGUCUAUUAAUUGCUGUCAUACUUACAUUUAUUGCUUAUUUGUGUGUUUUUAAUAUUUAUUCAGAUAAUUUCUCAAUAUGAAUGGUCUGAUAUGAAUUGUUGAAGUCUGCUAGAAUUAAAUUGCUGUCUAAGCUCGGCCCUGUUUGGUCAGGAGCUUGCUUAUGCUUAAGAAGGUUUCUAUUUCUUUCAUUGCCUGAUAUGCAGAGAGAGCAAACGUCUCCCCAGGAGUCAAGAAGUUACUGUGGCCUACAAGAUUACUGUAUCACAGAGAUAAAAUGUCCUGUUUGUGUUGAAGUAUACCCUGGUUGCCAACUACUGAU